Molecule: long non-coding RNA, 871 nt
Organism: Quercus lobata
Lineage: Eukaryota; Viridiplantae; Streptophyta; Magnoliopsida; Fagales; Fagaceae
Exons: 3
Source: RefSeq, a predicted model, not a curated record
CCAGGCCUCACACUCUGACUAAUGUAGUCGAAACCCAAAUCAGCUUCUGCAACGAUUCCCUCUCUCUGCGCCUCCCUCUCUGCCUCAAACGUACAACUUUUCCCUCCAUCCUUACCUCGUCGGUGCCAACAAUAUCCUAAACUCAAAACGUUUUGGCAAAAAACACAAACGUUCCGGCGCUGCAUCUCCUCUGCCUCUUCGGUCUUACAUUCAAGCUAAAGAAAUCUACAUCUCCACAAAUCAAUUUGGUUGGGGAAGAAGCCAAACCGUAUUGUGUUUCAUCAUAAAGAAGUAUAGUCAGAGGGAUUUUAACAUAACAUUGAUAAAAGCCUAAAUGGAAGGAUAUCCUCACAUCGCUGCUGGUGCCGCCAUGAGCAUGGAUUCUUCAAGUCAUCUGCCUCCCUCCCACUAUGCACAAGUCUAUAUUGCACAACAAGCAGAUCAGAGUAAUUGCAGAAAAGUACCAAGGCAAGUUUGUCAAGUUGUGGAGGGUUGUGAAUGUUGCUGACAAUUGAGGGACACUGGCAGAGAUGGUGUCGAUGGGUUGGUUUUGGCUAUAAAACCAUAUCAUGCGAUGGCAGGUUGUUGUAGUUCUUCCAUAUGCAACCAAAUGGCAUGCAGCUAUUUGCUUGACUGUGCAAAAGGCAUUAACUAAGGCUAUAAAGCUUGAUUUUUGCAGACUUAUUUCAACAAAAUCUAGAGCGAAGGACCUCUUUUAAUGUUCCUUGGCAAAUUGUUGUGCAGAUUGAAGACCACAAGUGCAUGGAAGUUGGAGAACGCUAGUGGUUAUGUAUGUUGUGCAUAAGAGAGUCAUGCUGGUGGUUAUGUUUGUUGUGCAUAUGAGAGUCACUGCCGAUGGGGUGCAUAAGAG